AGAGUUUGAUCCUGGCUCAGGAUGAACGCUAGCGGCAGGCUUAACACAUGCAAGUCGAGGGGUAACAGGGGAUUUCGGUUCUGCUGACGACCGGCGCACGGGUGAGUAACGCGUAUGCAACCUACCUGUAACUGGGGAAUAGCCCGAAGAAAUUCGGAUUAAUGCCCCAUAAUAUUUUCGAGAUGCAUAUCUUGAAUCUUAAAGUUUCGACGGUUACAGAUGGGCAUGCGUGACAUUAGUUAGUUGGUAAGGUAACGGCUUACCAAGACAAUGAUGUCUACGGGGUCUUAAAGGAUGGUCCCGCACACUGGUACUGAGACACGGACCAGACUCCUACGGGAGGCAGCAGUGAGGAAUAUUGGUCAAUGGGCGCAAGCCUGAACCAGCCAUGCCGCGUGAAGGAUGACGGCCCUACGGGUUGUAAACUUCUUUUAUACAGGAAGAAAAUGCCUUACGUGUAAGGUACUGACGGUACUGUAAGAAUAAGGAUCGGCUAACUCCGUGCCAGCAGCCGCGGUAAUACGGAGGAUCCAAGCGUUAUCCGGAUUUAUUGGGUUUAAAGGGUCCGUAGGCGGAUUUUUAAGUCAGUGGUGAAAGCCUACAGCUCAACUGUAGAACUGCCAUUGAUACUGGAAAUCUUGAGUGUGAUUGAAGUGGGCGGAAUGUGUCAUGUAGCGGUGAAAUGCAUAGAUAUGACACAGAACACCGAUUGCGAAGGCAGCUCACUAAGUCACAACUGACGCUGAGGGACGAAAGCGUGGGUAGCGAACAGGAUUAGAUACCCUGGUAGUCCACGCCGUAAACGAUCAUCACUCGCUGUUGGCGAUACACUGUCAGCGGCCAAGCGAAAGCAUUAAGUGAUGCACCUGGGGAGUACGGUCGCAAGAUUGAAACUCAAAGGAAUUGACGGGGGCCCGCACAAGCGGUGGAGCAUGUGGUUUAAUUCGAUGAUACGCGAGGAACCUUACCAGGGCUUAAAUGCAGAACGACAGUUUGGGAAACCAGAUUUUCUUCGGACGUUUUGCAAGGUGCUGCAUGGUUGUCGUCAGCUCGUGCCGUGAGGUGUCAGGUUAAGUCCUAUAACGAGCGCAACCCCUAUCUUUAGUUGCCAGCGGGUUAAGCCGGGGACUCUAAAGAAACUGCCAGCGCAAGCUGUGAGGAAGGUGGGGACGACGUCAAAUCAUCACGGCCCUUACGUCCUGGGCUACACACGUGCUACAAUGGUAAUGACAGAGGGCAGCCACCUGGCGACAGGGAGCGAAUCCUUAAACAUUAUCUCAGUUCGGAUUGGAGUCUGCAACUCGACUCCAUGAAGCUGGAAUCGCUAGUAAUCGCGCAUCAGCCAUGGCGCGGUGAAUACGUUCCCGGGCCUUGUACACACCGCCCGUCAAGCCAUGGAAGCUGGGAGUGCCUGAAGUCGGUCACCGCAAGGAGCUGCCUAGGGUAAAACUGGUAACUAGGGCUAAGUCGUAACAAGGUAACC
Molecule: ribosomal RNA, 1483 nt
Filed under: uncultured prokaryote
Description: partial 16S ribosomal RNA
Rfam family: Bacterial small subunit ribosomal RNA
Source: RNAcentral